GGGGAACAGGAGCGGCUGUCUAAGGUUAGGAGCAGGGCCUGCGGAAUCCGUGCGGCCCCCCGGGGAUCAGCCAGCGCCAAGCCGCGGGUGCCGAGUAUGUUCCAUGGGCAGAGGGAAGCACGCUUUCUCUGUUCUCCAGUGAGGCAUUUGGGUUCUUUUCCAGCGUGAGACUCUCCUACAGGUAGCCGCUACACACUGCUGUGAAGUUUUAUAUGAGUCUAUGUUUUCAUUUCUCAUUUCUCAUCUGUGAAGACCCAGAAGUAGAAGGCAGGGUCCUAUGGCAAGGGCAUAUUUAAGUUUGAAAGAAACUCAUUUCCAAAGCAACUGUACCAUCUUACAUGCCUACCAGCAGUGGAGGAGAGUUUGGGUUCCUCUCCAUCCUUGCCAGCACUAAGUGUUGCUCAUUGUUUUAAUUUUAGUUAUUCCAGUGGCUGUGUGUCCCCGCCAUUUUUUUAUAGUUGAAUGCUGCCUCUCAUUCAUAUAGUCCCCUCUUGGCCAUGUAAAUGGUUUCCAGGCCUUCUGCUAUUGCAAUCCAGGCUGUGAUGGAUAAUUUUAUAUACAAACUCAUCUGUGAGAUGAUUUCCUAAAAUGGGCUUCCUGGGUCAAAAGAUUUCUGUUUUUAUGACUUGGGAGGAUACACUUAAAUUGUCCUUCAAUUUGUGCCGAUGUACAAUUGCAGCAGCAGUAUCUCGAGGUCCCCUUGGCCUGCAACCUUACCGACGCAGUUCUCAAACUGUGAUACACUUGUCUGAAGGUCCCUUUCUUUACACAGAUGGGCUCCAGAUGAAGAAAGAAAACUACAGCAAGAGGGCUUGAAAGACGAUUCUAGAAGCAAUUCCCAAGUUUGGAGCAGUGGGAAGAAGAGGGACAGGCUAGAAAGUACAGAGCCCGUGCAUCUGGUAAGAGAGAUACGAGGGAAUGUUGAGGGGAAGUGGGGGAUGACAAGGUGACCCCAUCCCCCCCCAGCCCUGAACCCACCU
This is a long non-coding RNA of Mustela erminea (ermine), 980 nucleotides long. RefSeq lists it as uncharacterized. The transcript is spliced from 3 exons. The record is from RefSeq and is a predicted model, not a curated record. Lineage: Eukaryota; Metazoa; Chordata; Mammalia; Carnivora; Mustelidae.